AGCUCCAAUAGCGUAUAUUAAAGUUGUUGCAGUUAAAAAGCUCGUAGUUGGAUUUGUGGUGUGUCCAGUUGGCCUUUGCUCUUUGAGUGAUUGUGCUGUACUGGUCUGCCAUGUUUGGGUGGAAUCUGUGUGGCAUUAGGUUGUCGUGCAGGGGAUGCCCAUCGUUUACUGUGAAAAAAUUAGAGUGUUCAAAGCAGGCUUACGCCGUUGAAUAUAUUAGCAUGGAAUAAUAAUAUAGGACCUUGGUACUAUUUUGUUGGUUUGCGCACUAAGGUAAUGAUUAAGAGGGACAGUUGGGGGUAUUUGUAUUCCAUUGUCAGAGGUGAAAUUCUUGGAUUUUUGGAAGACAAACUACUGCGAAAGCAUUUACCAAGGAUGUUUUCAUUA
Molecule: ribosomal RNA, 387 nt
Filed under: Bacillariophyceae sp.
Lineage: Eukaryota; Bacillariophyta; Bacillariophyceae
Description: SSU rRNA
Rfam family: Eukaryotic small subunit ribosomal RNA
Source: RNAcentral